This 637-nucleotide long non-coding RNA is filed under the name Chlamydomonas reinhardtii. RNAcentral describes it as "long non-coding RNA (CREI_LNC000203)". Lineage: Eukaryota; Viridiplantae; Chlorophyta; Chlorophyceae; Chlamydomonadales; Chlamydomonadaceae. The record is from RNAcentral.
UAGAAGAGCGCAGGAGUCGGGAGCGGUAGUCUGUCGCAAACUCGAAGGGAAACCGGAGAAGGGAGAAAAUAGCUGGAUCGCGGUAGGUUGUCGCAAUCCCGAAGGGAAACCGGAGAAGGGAGGAGGGAGACAGUAGGCGCCGGGCUGACGGGGGAAGCCUGACACGCUAGAGGCCGCGCACUAUGGCGAAGGGCUUAGGUCCAGUUCGGUCCGCACGCGCCGGUCGCAGGAGAAGGGGAAGGGGCAACCCGCGAAGGGGAAUUUGCACUCAACCGUUACAAGUAUGCUGCCGUCAGCCACGGGUUGUGACCGCAAGACACAGCACACGCAAAACGAGCCCUGGCGCCUUGAUGCAACCAGGCUGUGGAGUCAGAGUUGGCCACGAACACAGGCUUGGUGCGACCUAGUUGUGAGGGGGGGGGCGGCUACCGCUAGCGUCUCGGGCUGCUUGGUCGUAGACUUAGGCUUCCUCAGGCAACGCUAGGUGCUGUGCAGCUGUGGGAGUCGACCUGGAAUGCGCGUCAGGCCCCUAGAUAUCGCUAGGUGAAUAUUACCGGUGGCGGGCGUGCCACACCUUUCACCGACCUCGUCAACUACCCAAAACGACGCUCGAUGGUGGGUGUGCUAAACAACUUCU